Molecule: long non-coding RNA, 1779 nt
Filed under: Homo sapiens (human)
Lineage: Eukaryota; Metazoa; Chordata; Mammalia; Primates; Hominidae
Description: non-protein coding lnc-MAPK15-2:2
Source: RNAcentral
UUUGAAUCCGGGAGGUGGAGGUUGUGGUGAGCCAAGGUUGCGCCAUUGCACUCCAGCCUGGGCAGUAAGAGUGAAACUCCGUCUCAAAAAAAAAAUUCCAGCCAACAGAUGCAUAUGUAAUGUUGGAAUCAGAAACGAGUUUACAAGAAAUAGGGGGAUGAGGAGAAGGUUGAACACACCGAGAGGAAGCCCUGAGCCAGAUCCGGCUGGAGAUGCCACCAGACGGCGACGUUUCUGUGGGAAGACGGGCACGCAGAAAGGCCGAGGGGGCUGUGUGUGACCCUGCAUGAGUAUGAGUUUCUUCGUGCUCACGGAAGAUUGUAGAGAGCAGCUGUCGGUCAUGGAGUCACAGGGCUGCCUUACCAGGACACCACCGGCAGCCCCACAGACAACACAGGUUUAUUCUCUCCAGCUCUGCAGGCUGGAAGUCCGAGGUAGAGGUGCCAACAGGGUCCGUUUCCGGCGAGCGCCUCCUGGUUCAGAGGCAUCCUCAUGUCAGGAGGGGCUUUGGUGUCACCUUUUCCUUGUGAGGGCCCGGAUCCCAUGACCCCUAUCACCCCAUCGAAGCCAAAUCACCUCCCAGAGACCUCCUCAUACCAUCACGUCGGGCCUAGGGCUUCCACAUGGGAAUUUCAGAGUGACCAUUCAGCCCGUAGCAGAAGCUCCUCUGGGUCUGUCCUGGCCCACAGACCCUGUGUAGGAAAAGCACUUGCCCCUGCGGGGCAGGCCCUGGCAGAGCCCGGUGAGGCAGUGAGGGCCCUGCAGGAUAAGUGGAAAUCUCCCCAGGGGGGAUAUGGGGGUGCCUUUCUCUUACAGAGUCCAGGCUGGUAAAAGCGCAUGUGUGUUUCGUGUCUGGUUUGUCCCCUGCCCAGCGGGCGCCGUUGGAAGGGCCUUCAGGUGCUUGAGCACAGGUGGGGACGGAGCAGCUGGUGUCUCGGCAGUAGAUGCGGCGGAUCAUAAGGACUUGGGUUUUGAGCGCCCUGCAGGAAGCCACUGGCCGCGUCCAGGGUCACCUGUGCCUGGUCGUUAGUCCCUCACAAUGCUGUCACUUUGUGACGCUCUUGUGCAGGAUUAAAUGUGAACAGCAGAGACGUGGGUGAUGCGCUGCCUCGUCAGAUGAUGGUCAGUUGUCCAAGCGGGCUGCCUUGCUCUUGGUGGCCUCAUCAUCCAGGGCUCACACACUGGAUGGUUGGGCCACAGUCGCGGUACCCCCCGGGCUGCAGGCUUUCCACCCUGCUUAGCAGGGCUCCAGGGCUCCGGGUAGAGCAGGGGGUCCCUCCCUUGGCACUUCCCCAGGGAGGAGCACGACCGUGCUCAGCUGCGGUCAGGCUGCUGCUCUUAGUUGUCUUUCCUUCUAACACUCAGGCUUCCCUUCCUGCCUCCUGGGUCGCUGAAGAAGGUCAGGUCCACAGAAAAGGCCUGGGGAGAGAAUGGUGGGGACACUUGCCUGGCCUUUGUGUUAGCGCUCAGCACACAUGUGUCCAGUGUAAAGUCCACCAAGAUUAGCAGGGCAUGGUAGCUGCCGCCUGUAAUCCCAGCUUCUCAGGAGUCUGAGGCAGGAGAAUUGCUUGAACCUGGGAGGCGGAGGUUGUAGUGAGCCAAGAUCGUGCCACUGCACUCCAGCCUGGGCGACAGAGUGAGACUCCAUCUCAAAAAAAAAAAAGUCCGUCGAGAGAGCAGGUGGCGGAUGCAGCUGAGAGCUCCAGGAAUGGGAGGGCCACGUGGUAGCCACUGGCAGCCUUGACUGAAAGAUGAAGGAGUCCAUGGUGCUAGGAGGAG